GCUCCCAUGGGGUAAUGGAUAGCCUUCAAGCUUGCGGAGCUUGAGGCCUGGGUUCAAUUCCCAGUGGGAGCG
This 72-nucleotide transfer RNA is filed under the name Candidatus Iainarchaeum sp. RNAcentral describes it as "tRNA-Arg". It matches the Rfam family "tRNA". Rfam says of the family: Transfer RNA (tRNA) molecules are approximately 80 nucleotides in length. Their secondary structure includes four short double-helical elements and three loops (D, anti-codon, and T loops). Further hydrogen bonds mediate the characteristic L-shaped molecular structure. tRNAs have two regions of fundamental functional importance: the anti-codon, which is responsible for specific mRNA codon recognition, and the 3' end, to which the tRNAs corresponding amino acid is attached (by aminoacyl-tRNA synthetases). tRNAs cope with the degeneracy of the genetic code in two manners: having more than one tRNA (with a specific anti-codon) for a particular amino acid; and 'wobble' base-pairing, i.e. permitting non-standard base-pairing at the 3rd anti-codon position. Lineage: Archaea; Nanobdellati; Candidatus Iainarchaeota; Candidatus Iainarchaeia; Candidatus Iainarchaeales; Candidatus Iainarchaeaceae. The record is from RNAcentral.